RNAcentral lists this unclassified non-coding RNA (146 nucleotides) under uncultured fungus. RNAcentral describes it as "sequence contains ITS1". Lineage: Eukaryota; Fungi. The record is from RNAcentral.
UUAAUUCUUGCUUUUUGAUUCAGACAAAUACUUUACCGCAUAAACGAGGUGCCGGAGCACCAAAGCACAUCUUGCUUCCACAGGUUUACAGGGUUGAAGGCAAAAGCCAUUCAUUAAUGAUCCCUCCGCAGGUUCACCUACGGAGA